This is a long non-coding RNA of Trachemys scripta elegans, 288 nucleotides long. RefSeq lists it as uncharacterized. The transcript has 3 exons. Lineage: Eukaryota; Metazoa; Chordata; Testudines; Emydidae. The record is from RefSeq and is a predicted model, not a curated record.
GCAGGGAGUGUGUGGGGCAGGAUCUAAGGGUGUGCCUCUCGUAGGGGGGAGCAGAGCAGGGGGCCCAGGAGGUAUCUGGGGCAGAGGAGCAGAGCAGGGGGCUCAGGAGGUAUAUGGGGCAGAGGAGCAGAGGGUGUGUGGGGCAGAGGAGCAGAGCAGGGGGCUCAGGAGGUAUGUGGGGCAGAGGAUGUAUGGAGCAAUCAAGGUACAAUGCAGCCUGGGUAUUUAAUGCUUUUCCUUAGCAGCAAUGGAUCCUGAACAAUAGACAACCCUAAAGCUCGUGGUGAG